GUGAUCCGCCACACAGGAACUGAGACACGGUCGAGACUCCUACGUGAUUCGGCGGUAGGGAAUCUUCAGCAAUGAACGUUUGCGGGACGACGCAACGCCGCGUGAGUGAUGAAGGUCUUCGGAUCGUUGAACUCUGUUAUUAGGGAAGAACAAAUGUGUAAGUAACUAUGCACGUCUUGACGGUACCUAAUCAGAAAGCCACGGCUAACUACGUGCCAGCAGCCGCGGUAAUACGUAGGUGGCAAGCGUUAUCCGGAAUUAUUGGGCGUAAAGCGCGCGUAGGCGGUGGGUUAAGUCUGAUGUGAAAUACCAGGGCUCAACCGUGGAGGGUCAUUGGAAACUGGAAAACUUGAGUGCAGAAGAGGAAAGUGGAAUUCCAUGUGUAGCGGUGAAAUGCGCAGAGAUAUGGAGGAACACCAGUGGCGAAG
RNAcentral lists this ribosomal RNA (428 nucleotides) under Staphylococcus sp. WMB4B. RNAcentral describes it as "SSU rRNA". It matches the Rfam family "Bacterial small subunit ribosomal RNA", at positions 300 to 720 of the family's 1533-position model. The record is from RNAcentral. Lineage: Bacteria; Bacillati; Bacillota; Bacilli; Caryophanales; Staphylococcaceae.